This 1255-nucleotide ribosomal RNA is filed under the name Aplomya confinis. RNAcentral's name for it is "eukaryotic LSU rRNA". It matches the Rfam family "Eukaryotic large subunit ribosomal RNA", at positions 156 to 1219 of the family's 3401-position model. The record is from RNAcentral. Lineage: Eukaryota; Metazoa; Arthropoda; Insecta; Diptera; Tachinidae.
GAAUGUCAAAUUUCUAGUAUGAGAAAUUAACGAUUUAAGUCCUUCUUAAAUGAGGCCAUUUACCCAUAGAGGGUGCCAGGCCCGUAUAACGUUAAUGAUUACUAGAUGGCAUUUCCAAAGAGUCGUGUUGCUUGAUAGUGCAGCACUAAGUGGGUGGUAAACUCCAUCUAAAACUAAAUAUAACCAUGAGACCGAUAGUAAACAAGUACCGUGAGGGAAAGUUGAAAAGAACUCUGAAUAGAGAGUUAAAUAGUACGUGAAACUGCUUAGAGGUUAAGCCCGAUGAACCUGAAUAUCCAUUAUAGAAAAUUCAUCAUUAUGAUUUUAAUAUAAUUUAAUAUCAAAAUAAUGGUGUGCAUUUUUUCUAUAAAGGACAUUGUAAUCUAUUGACAUAAAUGAAAAUUUAUCAAAAGAUCAAUUGCGUAAGUUUAUUCAAAUUAUUUUGCUUGCAAUUUAACAUAAAAUAAAUGCUUUUGAUUUGAUAAAGUGUUGAUAGAUUUAUAACAUAUAGUGCUUGAAUAUUUUAUAUUCUAUAAUAGCAUAUUAAUUUAUAAUUUUUGUGUUUAUUAUAUGCACUUAUAUGAUUAACAAUGCGAAAGAUUCAGGAUACCUUCGGGACCCGUCUUGAAACACGGACCAAGGAGUCUAACAUAUUUGCAAGUUAUUGGGAAUAAAAACCUAAUAGCGAAAUUAACAUAACUUAUUAUUGGGAUUAGUUUUUAGUCUAUUUAUAGUCUAUUAAUUCAAUCCCGGGGCGUUCUAUAUAGUUAUGUAUAAUAAUAUUUAUAUUAUUUAUACCUCUAACUAGAGCGUACCUUGAGCAUAUAUGCUGUGACCCGAAAGAUGGUGAACUAUACUUGAUCAGGUUGAAGUCAGGGGAAACCCUGAUGGAAGACCGAAACAGUUCUGACGUGCAAAUCGAUUGUCAGAAUUGAGUAUAGGGGCGAAAGACCAAUCGAACCAUCUAGUAGCUGGUUCCCUCCGAAGUUUCCCUCAGGAUAGCUGGUGCAUUUAAAAAUGAUGUAAAAUAAUCUUAUCUGGUAAAGCGAAUGAUUAGAGGCCUUAGGGUCGAAACGAUCUUAACCUAUUCUCAAACUUUAAAUGGGUAAGAACCUCACCUUUCUUGGUAUGAAGGUAGUGGUUGUGAUAUAAUGUGCCCAGUGGGCCACUUUUGGUAAGCAGAACUGGCGCUGUGGGAUGAACCAAACGUAAUGUUACGGUGCCCAAAUUAACAACUCAUGCAGAUACCAUGAAA